Molecule: ribosomal RNA, 354 nt
Filed under: uncultured marine eukaryote
Lineage: Eukaryota
Description: SSU rRNA
Rfam family: Eukaryotic small subunit ribosomal RNA
Source: RNAcentral
AACCUGGUUGAUCCUGCCAGUAGUCAUAUGCUUGUCUCAAAGACUAAGCCAUGCAUGUCUAAGUAUAAAUGCUAUACAAUGAAACUGCGAAUGGCUCGUUAAAACAGUUAUAGUUUAUAUGGUAAUCGAAUUUACAUGGAUAACCGUGGUAAUUCUAGAGCUAAUACAUGCUGUUAAGCCCAACUUAUGGAAGGGCCGUAUUUAUUAGAUAACAGACCAAUAUUCUUCGUGUCUAUUGUGGUGAAUCAUAGUAACUAAAUCGGAUCGUAUGGGCUAGUCCCUCGACAAACCAUUCAAGUUUCUGCCCCAUCAGCUUUCGAUGGUAGUGUAUUGGACUACCAUGGCUUUCACGGG